GAGUUUGAUCCUGGCUCAGAACGAACGCUGGCGGCAGGCCUCAAACAUGCAAGUCUAGGGGGUGUAGCAAUACAUCACCGGCGGACGGGUGCGUAACGCGUGGGAAUAUACCUAUUGGUUCGGAACAACUGCGGGAAACUGCAGCUAAUACCGAAUGUGCCCUAACGGGGAAAGAUUUAUCGCCAAUGGAUUAGCCCGCGUAGGAUUAGCUAGUUGGUGGGGUAAUGGCUCACCAAGGCUCCGAUCCUUAGCUGUUCUGAGAGGAAGAUCAGCCACACUGGGACUGAGACACGGCCCAGACUCCUACGGGAGGCAGCAGUUGGGAAUCUUGGACAAUGGGGGAAACCCUGAUCCAGCCAUGCCGCGUGAGUGAUGAAGGCCUUC
RNAcentral lists this ribosomal RNA (384 nucleotides) under uncultured Alphaproteobacteria bacterium. Its description in RNAcentral is "bacterial SSU rRNA". It matches the Rfam family "Bacterial small subunit ribosomal RNA", at positions 9 to 419 of the family's 1533-position model. The record is from RNAcentral. Lineage: Bacteria; Pseudomonadati; Pseudomonadota; Alphaproteobacteria.